Molecule: ribosomal RNA, 496 nt
Filed under: uncultured bacterium
Lineage: Bacteria
Description: partial 16S ribosomal RNA
Rfam family: Bacterial small subunit ribosomal RNA
Source: RNAcentral
AUGCACGCUGGCGGCGUGCCUAAUACAUGCACGUCGAGCGAACAGACGAGGAGCUUGCUCCUCUGACGUUAGCGGCGGACGGGUGAGUAACACGUGGAUAACCUACCUAUAAGACUGGGAUAACUUCGGGAAACCGGAGCUAAUACCGGAUAAUAUAUUGAACCGCAUGGUUCAAUAGUGAAAGACGGUUUUGCUGUCACUUAUAGAUGGAUCCGCGCCGCAUUAGCUAGUUGGUAAGGUAACGGCUUACCAAGGCAACGAUGCGUAGCCGACCUGAGAGGGUGAUCGGCCACACUGGAACUGAGACACGGUCCAGACUCCUACGGGAGGCAGCAGUAGGGAAUCUUCCGCAAUGGGCGAAAGCCUGACGGAGCAACGCCGCGUGAGUGAUGAAGGUCUUCGGAUCGUAAAACUCUGUUAUUAGGGAAGAACAAAUGUGUAAGUAACUAUGCACGUCUUGACGGUACCUAAUCAGAAAGCCACGGCUAACUACGUG